RNAcentral lists this ribosomal RNA (253 nucleotides) under uncultured bacterium. Its description in RNAcentral is "partial 16S ribosomal RNA". It matches the Rfam family "Bacterial small subunit ribosomal RNA", at positions 524 to 776 of the family's 1533-position model. The record is from RNAcentral.
UACGUAGGGUGCGAGCGUUGUCCGGAAUUAUUGGGCGUAAAGGGCUCGUAGGCGGUUUGUCGCGUCGGGAGUGAAAUCAUCUGGCUUAACUGGGUGCUUGCUUUCGAUACGGGCAGACUAGAGGUAUGCAGGGGAGAACGGAAUUCCAGGUGUAGCGGUGAAAUGCGUAGAUAUCUGGAGGAAUACCGGUGGCGAAGGCGGCAUCCUGGACCAUUACUGACGCUGAGGCGCGAAAGCUAGGGGAGCAAACGGG